UGCUUCCCCUCAGUUAUACCUGUGCUGUAAUUAACAGUAUCAACAGAAAAAGGUGUGUUUGACUAUGGUCAAUAGCUGAGUAAAUUUAUGAACAUGAGAAAAAGGAGAAAAAAUAAUGUUUAUUUUGUUGUGAGCUUUGGGCUUUUCUCUAGAAGUUACAGAAUAUUGGGCCAUGUAUGUUAAUAAAGUUGCAGAGAUCUUGCGAAUGAUAUGAAGGUUUAGGGGAAUAAAGUUAACCUUAAAUUUAUAUCCGUAAUUUUUAGCGUGUAACUUGGGGAUAUGGAAUUAUCCUAAUGCUAGUUUUACAAAAGUGAAUUUUAGCUGGAAGAAUAAGUCGCCU
This 340-nucleotide long non-coding RNA is filed under the name Mytilus galloprovincialis (Mediterranean mussel). The record is from RNAcentral. Lineage: Eukaryota; Metazoa; Mollusca; Bivalvia; Mytilida; Mytilidae.